This 27-nucleotide non-coding RNA is filed under the name Homo sapiens (human). The record is from RNAcentral. Lineage: Eukaryota; Metazoa; Chordata; Mammalia; Primates; Hominidae.
UAUGGUGGAGCAUUCUGAGAAAUUUGC